UAACAAUUGACAAGAUAGAACAAACAUGGGAACGUAGGUGGGCAAUAAACAUAGCAGUACAACUACUAUAAAGUAGAAUUUCAAUAAGCAGGUCACACAGAUCUAGAGACGAAACCAAGCUGUGUUUACAAACUCCUGUUUAUACAAGAUGAACUUUCGCUGCAUACUCGUUCUUUUGUUCCUGAUUUCAGCAAGCCAUCAUGUUAAUUCACAGAAUUUUGCACCGUUUUUAGGAGGACUAUUUUUAGGUGGUUUGUUCAAUCGAUUUCAGUCACUUCCACCACCACCAAUAUACUCACCACCUUUCUACUACCCACAGUUUCAGCCUGGAUUUGGUCGAUUUGGAUAAAUGAAUAAAUUUAGACGGUUUAUCAGUGCUGUACAUCUAACAUCUAGAAGAAACCAUUUGUUAAUGAAAAUGUGAGAAAACAGAAGAGAGAAAAAUGACAUCCAUUCACUUCUACAGUAACUGUUGUGUCUUUUUUUAUUAUUAAAUUCUAAAUUAACUUUA
Mytilus trossulus (common blue mussel) is the source of this 511-nucleotide long non-coding RNA. RefSeq lists it as uncharacterized. The record is from RefSeq and is a predicted model, not a curated record. The transcript has 3 exons. NCBI's taxonomy places the organism in Eukaryota, Metazoa, Mollusca, Bivalvia, Mytilida, Mytilidae.